RNAcentral lists this ribosomal RNA (429 nucleotides) under Acidobacteriota bacterium. Its description in RNAcentral is "Acidobacteria bacterium partial 16S ribosomal RNA". It matches the Rfam family "Bacterial small subunit ribosomal RNA", at positions 355 to 776 of the family's 1533-position model. Lineage: Bacteria; Pseudomonadati; Acidobacteriota. The record is from RNAcentral.
UGGGGAAUUUUGGACAAUGGGGGAAACCCUGAUCCAGCCAUCCCGCGUGUGCGAUGAAGGCCUUCGGGUUGUAAAGCACUUUUGGCAGGAAAGAAACGUCAUGGGUUAAUACCCCAUGAAACUGACGGUACCUGCAGAAUAAGCACGGGCUAACUACGUGCCAGCAGCCGCGGUAAUACGUAGGGUGCAAGCGUUAAUCGGAAUUACUGGGCGUAAAGCGUGCGCAGGCGGUUCGGAAAGAAAGAUGUGAAAUCCCAGAGCUCAACUUUGGAACUGCAUUUUUAACUACCGGGCUAGAGUGUGUCAGAGGGAGGUGGAAUUCCGCGUGUAGCAGUGAAAUGCGUAGAUAUGCGGAGGAACACCGAUGGCGAAGGCAGCCUCCUGGGAUAACACUGACGCUCAUGCACGAAAGCGUGGGGAGCAAACAGG